CCCGGGAAUGCCUUGAUGCCUGAGACUUUAAUUUCUUCUGGUUUCCUUUGCAGGAGCUGCAGGUAUUCGUGAGCCGGGCUGCCCUGCAGCAACUAUUUUCAAGGCAAUAACUUGGAUGGGAUGGAGGGGCGAGAAGAGGGAUGUGCAGGCAGGGAAGAGCGGGAGGCCAGAGGACAGUCCAGACUAGGAUGGAGGAGCGGCCACAGCCACAAUCCUGGAGAAGCGGCUCUCCCUCUCUCUCUCAGCCCAGAGCAGGAGCGAGCAGGUCAGAA
Molecule: long non-coding RNA, 272 nt
Filed under: Ictidomys tridecemlineatus (thirteen-lined ground squirrel)
Lineage: Eukaryota; Metazoa; Chordata; Mammalia; Rodentia; Sciuridae
Description: lncRNA (ENSSTOG00000033045.1)
Source: RNAcentral